Molecule: transfer RNA, 76 nt
Filed under: Oscillibacter valericigenes Sjm18-20
Lineage: Bacteria; Bacillati; Bacillota; Clostridia; Eubacteriales; Oscillospiraceae
Description: tRNA-Ala (CGC) (tRNA-Ala-CGC-2-1)
Rfam family: tRNA
About the family: Transfer RNA (tRNA) molecules are approximately 80 nucleotides in length. Their secondary structure includes four short double-helical elements and three loops (D, anti-codon, and T loops).
Source: RNAcentral
CGCUUUGCGGACCACUUGGGAGAGCGCCGCGUUCGCAACGCGGAGGUCGACGGUUCGAUCCCGUUCAGGUCCACCA